AAUAAUUGAUUUCUUUUUUCUUUUUUGGUUGAAACAGGUAAGAUGGCAGCCUAGCUGCCCGUUCUAUCAACAAUUAGCAACUCCUCAGUUUCCUUAGGGAAAUUUUACAGAAAAUUAUGUCUUCCUGAUACUUCCAUAUCUGCUUGGUGAUGAAAUCCGCGACGCGGUUGAUUUCUCUAGGCAUAUUUAAUCCCUUGUGAAUGCCCCACAGUUCUGCUUUCAAGAUGGAGCAAGUCCCUAUUCUUCUGCCAAAAUCCCACUGCCAAUUUCCAUUGUGAUCUUGGAUUACAGAGCUGAAGAAGGUAGGCCAGCUCUCUAUUCUUGGCGAAGGGCGAACUACCCAUAUCAACAAAGUUCUCGGGCAGAAUCUCAGCAUAUGGUUAAUGUCUUCUGUCUCGUAGUUACACAUAGGGCAGCUUGCAUCCGUCGUCAUAUGCCUGCGCACUCUUUCCGAAUUGGUCAGAUCUUUUCCAAUGAGCCAUAGAAAAGCUUUCUUUAAAUGCCUUUGUUUAGUGGACUGCUAUUUUUUUUCUGCAAAUAUGCACGUCUGAUGAAGUGAAGGUUGGUCUUCUUAGUUGAAUUCCUCGUUUUCUCUCGAUUUGAUGCAUAAAAUAAUAUUAAUAAAUUUCACUGGCAUCGACACCUGACAGCAUAUCGUGAUGCAGGUAAGAGUAAGCUUCAUGCGAUUUAAUUAUCCAUCAGCUUAAUUCAACUACAUAUAAGCUGAUCAUUGUCUACAAAUACAUAUAUGAUAUUGAGUGCUCUUCUUCUUCAACUAUCUAGAUAUACUCUCCGAGAUAAUUGACAAUAACAUCCCAUGAUGUCAUUAGCCAGCUAAGCCACGGGUGCUACAUCGGCUCCAUCGUCAUCGCCCCCGUUAUUUUCACUGUAAAUAAAUAGACGAGUGGCAACUAGGCGGUCGGUGAUGAGCUUCUUGGAGAGGCCUGCUGCAGAUUGCUCGGUAUUGUCUAGCACCAUUGUAGUUGUUCACUGACCGUCCUCUAGAACUAGAAGAAACUACUUUCAAGGGAAAAUAUCAGGGGAGAUUGCUGUGUGCUGAAAAGAAAGCACAUGUUCUCCUAUUUAUAACCGGAAAAAGUAGCACUACCAUUGUUCUGAAUUACAGUUACAGUCCCCUAAAGUUUUAUAAAUUCGUCUCUACUAACAUAAAUUUCUGUUUUCAUCCUUGAUUAUAGGCACAAUUACAGGUGUUACGAACGAGAAUCUGAUAGCACAACACGAUAAUUAUAAUUUGUAGUAUUACGGUGAGCAUUAGGGCCGCAUGUUAGAAGUAUGUGUGGGUUGCACAUGAGAAAAGAGGAAAAAGCAGGAAAGGGAGAGUGAUAUUGUAUCAACUUGUGGUUGAUUUGCAUAGAUUGUACUUACAUGGCGACCUGCGGUCCCACGCAUGAGCCAU
Long non-coding RNA from Hibiscus syriacus, 1417 nucleotides. RefSeq lists it as uncharacterized. NCBI's taxonomy places the organism in Eukaryota, Viridiplantae, Streptophyta, Magnoliopsida, Malvales, Malvaceae. The record is from RefSeq and is a predicted model, not a curated record. The transcript is spliced from 3 exons.